UUGGGCGUAAGCGAGCGCAGGCGGUUAGAAAAGUCUGAAGUGAAAGGCAGUGGCUCAACCAUUGUAGGCUUUGGAAACUGUUUAACUUGAGUGCAGAAGGGGAGAGUGGAAUUCCAUGUGUAGCGGUGAAAUGCGUAGAUAUAUGGAGGAACACCGGUGGCGAAAGCGGCUCUCUGGUCUGUCACUGACGCUGAGGCUCGAAAGCGUGGGGAGCGGACAGGAUUAGAUACCCUGGUAGUCCACGCCGUAAACGAUGAGUGCUAGGUGUUGGGUCCUUUCCGGGGCUCAGUGCCGCAGCUAACGCAUUAAGCACUCCGCCUGGGGAGUACGACCGCAAGGUUGAAACUCAAAGGAAUUGACGGGGGCCCGCACAAGCGGUGGAGCAUGUGGUUUAAUUCGAAGCAACGCGAAGAACCUUACCAGGUCUUGACAUCCCAGUGACCACCCUAGAGAUAGGGUUUCCCUUCGGGGCACUGGUGACAGGUGGUGCAUGGUUGUCGUCAGCUCGUGUCGUGAGAUGUUGGGUUAAGUCCCGCAACGAGCGCAACCCUUAUUGUUAGUUGCCAUCAUUGAGUUGGGCACUCUAGCGAGACUGCCGGUAAUAAACCGGAGGAAGGUGGGGAUGACGU
RNAcentral lists this ribosomal RNA (629 nucleotides) under uncultured bacterium. Its description in RNAcentral is "bacterial SSU rRNA". It matches the Rfam family "Bacterial small subunit ribosomal RNA", at positions 554 to 1185 of the family's 1533-position model. The record is from RNAcentral.